CCUACGGGGGGCAGCAGUGAGGAAUAUUGGUCAAUGGACGAGAGUCUGAACCAGCCAAGUAGCGUGAAGGAUGACUGCCCUAUGUGUUGUAAACUUCUUUUAUAUGGGAAUAAAACGUUCCACGUGUGGGAUUUUGUAUGUACCAUAUGAAUAAGGAUCGGCUAAUUCCGUGCCAGCAGCCGCGGUAAUACGGAGGGUCCGAGCGUUAUCCGGAUUUAUUGGGUUUAAGGGGAGCGUAGGUGGAUUGUUAAGCCGGUUGUGAAAGGCUGGGGCUCAACCGUAGAAUUGCAGUUGAAACUGGCGGGCUUGAGUGCAGUAGAGGUGGGCGGAAUUCGUGGUGUAGCGGUGAAAUGCUUAGAUAUCACGAAGAACUCCGAUUGCGAAGGCAGUUCACUGGACUGCAACUGACGCUGAGGCUCGAAAGUGUGGGUAUCAAACAGGAUUAGAUACCCCUGUAGUC
RNAcentral lists this ribosomal RNA (460 nucleotides) under uncultured bacterium. RNAcentral's name for it is "partial 16S ribosomal RNA". It matches the Rfam family "Bacterial small subunit ribosomal RNA", at positions 338 to 795 of the family's 1533-position model. The record is from RNAcentral.